GAUGAACGCUGGCGGCGUGCCUAAUACAUGCAAGUCGAGCGAACGGACGAGAAGUUUGCUUCUCUGUUGUUAGCGGCGGACGGGUGAGUAACACGUGGAUAACCCACCCAUAAGACUGGGAUAACUUCGGGCAAACGGUGCUAAUACCGGUUGAUAUUUUGAACCGCAUGGUUCAAAAGUGAAAGAUGGUCUUGCUGUCACAUAUAGACGUAUCCGUGCUGCAUUAGCUAGUUGGUAAGGUAACGGCUUACCAAGGCAACGAUGCAUAGCCGACCUGAGAGGAUGAUCAGCCACACUGGAACUGAGACCCGGUCCAGGCUCCUACGGGAGGCGGCAUUACGGAAUCUUCCGCAAUGGGCGGAGACCUGACGAAGCAGCGCCACGUGAGUGAUGAAGGUCUUCGGAUCGUAAAACUCUGUUAUUAGGAAAGUACAUAUGUGUAAGUAACGAUGCACAUCUUGACGGUACCUAAUCAGAAAGCCACGGCUAAAUACGUG
Molecule: ribosomal RNA, 497 nt
Filed under: uncultured bacterium
Lineage: Bacteria
Description: partial 16S ribosomal RNA
Rfam family: Bacterial small subunit ribosomal RNA
Source: RNAcentral